AACGAACGCUGGCGGCAUGCCUAACACAUGCAAGUCGAACGAGACCUCCGGGUCUUGUGGCGCACGGGUGCGGAACGCGUGGGAACCUGCCCUUAGGUUCGGAAUCCCUCCCCGAAAGGGGUCCUAAUACCGUCUAAUGUCUUAGGACCAAAGAUUUAUUGCUUCUGGAUGGGGCCGGGUCGGUUUAGCUGGUUGGUAGGGUAAAAGCCUACCAAGGCGAUGUUCCAUGGCUGGUCUGGGAGGAGGAUCAGCCACACUGGGACGGCGACACGGCCCAGACUCCUACGCAAGGCAGCGGUGGGGAGUAUUGUGCAAUGAGCGAAAGCCUAAUCCAGCAAUGCCGCGUGAGUGGUGAAGGCGUUAGGAUUGUAAUGCUCUUUUACCCGGGAUGAUAAUGACAGUACCGGGAGAAUAAGCACCGGCUAACUCCGUG
RNAcentral lists this ribosomal RNA (433 nucleotides) under uncultured bacterium. RNAcentral's name for it is "partial 16S ribosomal RNA". It matches the Rfam family "Bacterial small subunit ribosomal RNA", at positions 29 to 507 of the family's 1533-position model. The record is from RNAcentral.